This 253-nucleotide ribosomal RNA is filed under the name uncultured bacterium. RNAcentral describes it as "partial 16S ribosomal RNA". It matches the Rfam family "Bacterial small subunit ribosomal RNA", at positions 524 to 776 of the family's 1533-position model. The record is from RNAcentral.
GACAGAGGUGGCGAGCGUUGUUCGGAUUUAUUGGGCGUAAAGCGCACGCAGGCGGUUUGGUAAGUCAGGGGUGAAAGCCCACAGCUUAACUGUGGGACUGCCUUUGAUACUGCCUUUCUCGAGUGCAUGAGGGGGAAGCGGAAUUCCGAGUGUAGAGGUGAAAUUCGUAGAUAUUCGGAGGAACACCGGUGGCGAAGGCGGCUUCCUGGCAUGUAACUGACGCUCAGGUGCGAAAGCGUGGGUAGCAAACAGG